This 217-nucleotide long non-coding RNA is filed under the name Capsicum annuum. RNAcentral describes it as "long non-coding RNA (CANN_LNC014737)". Lineage: Eukaryota; Viridiplantae; Streptophyta; Magnoliopsida; Solanales; Solanaceae. The record is from RNAcentral.
GAGUUAGUAAAAAUUCAAUAGAUACACAAAAAGAUGAAAUAUCAAAAUUAGAAUCACAAAUAGAUAGUUUAGAAUAUAUAUAUCAACAUGAACUAUUCACAAUAAAAUGAACAAAGAAGAAUUUAUAAUAGAUGAAAAAAUAUAUGAAAACUACGAAGGAUCAAAAAUAAAAAUAGUAUUUUCUAAUCUAGGACGAAGAUAUAAGAAAAUAGGUGAA